Molecule: ribosomal RNA, 465 nt
Filed under: uncultured bacterium
Lineage: Bacteria
Description: partial 16S ribosomal RNA
Rfam family: Bacterial small subunit ribosomal RNA
Source: RNAcentral
CCUACGGGAGGCAGCAGUGGGGAAUAUUGCGCAAUGGGCGAAAGCCUGACGCAGCGACGCCGCGUGAGGGAUGAAGGUCUUCGGAUCGUAAACCUCUGUCAGCAGGGAAGAACGGUCACUGUGCUAAUCAGCAGUGAAUUGACGGUACCUGCAAAGGAAGCACCGGCUAACUCCGUGCCAGCAGCCGCGGUAAGACGGAGGGUGCGAGCGUUAAUCGGAAUUACUGGGCGUAAAGCGCUCGUAGGCGGUAUGUCAAGUAAAGGGUGAAAUCCCCGCGCUCAACGUGGGAACUGCCUUUGAAACUGGCAGACUGGAGUGUGUGAGAGGAUAGUGGAAUUCCAGGUGUAGGAGUGAAAUCCGUAGAUAUCUGGAGGAACAUCAGUGGCGAAGGCGACUAUCUGGCACAUAACUGACGCUGAGGAGCGAAAGCGUGGGUAGCAAACAGGAUUAGAUACCCUGGUAGUC